Molecule: ribosomal RNA, 468 nt
Filed under: uncultured bacterium
Lineage: Bacteria
Description: partial 16S ribosomal RNA
Rfam family: Bacterial small subunit ribosomal RNA
Source: RNAcentral
GACGAACGCUGGCGGCGUGCUUAACACAUGCAAGUCGAACGGAAACGCACUGCUUUCGUGGGGUGCUCGAGUGGCGAACGGGUGAGUAACACGUGAGUAACCUGCCCUAGACUUUGGGAUAACUUCAGGUAACUGGGGCUAAUAUCGGAUAGCAGCCCCCGUUGCAUGGUGGGGGUUGGAACGUUUCGGCGGUUGGGGAUGGAUGCGCGGCUUACCAGCUUGUUGGUGGGGGAGUGGCAGACCAAGGCUUUGACGGGUAGCCGGCCUGUGAGGGUGACCGGCCACAAGGGGACUGAGAUACGGACCAGACUGCAACGGGGGGCAGCGGGGGGGAGUAUUGCACAGUGGGCGGGAGCCUGAGGCAGCAACGUCGCGUGCGGGAUGACGGCCUGCGGGUUGUGAACCGCUUUCGCCUGAGACGAAGCGGGAGUGACGGUAAUGGGUAAAGAAGCACCGGCUAACUACGUG